RNAcentral lists this ribosomal RNA (821 nucleotides) under Trechispora sp. RNAcentral's name for it is "partial large subunit ribosomal RNA". It matches the Rfam family "Eukaryotic large subunit ribosomal RNA", at positions 77 to 915 of the family's 3401-position model. The record is from RNAcentral. Lineage: Eukaryota; Fungi; Basidiomycota; Agaricomycetes; Trechisporales; Hydnodontaceae.
CCCCUAGUAACUGCGAGUGAAGCGGGAAAAGCUCAAAUUUGAAAUCUGACGGUUACGCCGUCCGAGUUGUAUUCUGGAGAAGCGUCUUCCGCGUCGGACCGUGUACAAGUCCCUUGGAACAGGGCGUCAUAGAGGGUGAGAAUCCCGUCUUUGACACGGACCCCCGGUGCUAUGUGAUGCGCUCUCGAAGAGUCGAGUUGUUUGGGAAUGCAGCUCAAAACGGGUGGUAAAUUCCAUCUAAAGCUAAAUAUUGGCGAGAGACCGAUAGCGAACAAGUACCGUGAGGGAAAGAUGAAAAGCACUUUGGAAAGAGAGUAAAACAGUACGUGAAAUUGUUGAAAGGGAAACGCUUGAAGUCAGUCGCGUCUGCCGGAACUCAGCCUUGCUUCUGCUUGGUGCACUUUCCGGUUUGACGGGCCAGCAUCGGUUUCGAGCGGCGGACACUGGCGCGGGGAAGGUGGCAGCUCCGGCUGUGUUAUAGCCCCGUGUCGCGAACGUCUCACGGGACCGAGGAAUCCGGCGCAAGCCUGGGAUGCUGGCGUAAUGGCUUUAAACGACCCGUCUUGAAACACGGACCAAGGAGUGCUAUGUGCUCGCGAGUGUUUGGGUGGAAAACCCGGACGCGAAAUGAAAGUGAAAGUCGAUACCCCUUUGCGGGGGGCACCGACGCCCGAGCCUGAAGUUUACGGAAGGCCUUGCGGUAGAGCGAGUGCGUUGCGACCCGAAAGAUGGUGAACUAUUCCUGAGGAGGGCGAAGCCAGAGGAAACUCUGGUGGAGGCUCGUAGCGGUUCUGACGUGCAAAUCGAUCGCAGGACUUGGG